AUUGAACGCUGGCGGCAUGCUUUACACAUGCAAGUCGAACGGUAACAGGCCUUCGGGUGCUGACGAGUGGCGAACGGGUGCGUAAUGCAUCGGAACGUACCCAGAGGUGGGGGAUAACGCAGCGAAAGCUGUGCUAAUACCGCAUGUGAUCUGAGGAUGAAAGCGGGGGACCGCGCAGCAAUGUUUGGCCUCGCGCCUUUGGAGCGGCCGAUGUCGGAUUAGCUAGUUGGUGGGGUAAAGGCCUACCAAGGCGACGAUCCGUAGCUGGUCUGAGAGGACGACCAGCCACACUGGGACUGAGACACGGCCCAGACUCCUACGGGAGGCAGCAGUGGGGAAUUUUGGACAAUGGGCGCGAGCCUGAUCCAGCAAUGCCGCGUGCGGGAAGAAGGCCUUCGGGUUGUAAACCGCUUUUGGCAGGAACGAAACGGUGUCCGCUAAUACCGGGCGCUAAUGACGGUACCUGCAGAAUAAGCACCGGCUAACUACGUG
RNAcentral lists this ribosomal RNA (492 nucleotides) under uncultured bacterium. Its description in RNAcentral is "partial 16S ribosomal RNA". It matches the Rfam family "Bacterial small subunit ribosomal RNA", at positions 29 to 507 of the family's 1533-position model. The record is from RNAcentral.